Molecule: ribosomal RNA, 253 nt
Filed under: uncultured bacterium
Lineage: Bacteria
Description: partial 16S ribosomal RNA
Rfam family: Bacterial small subunit ribosomal RNA
Source: RNAcentral
UACAGAGGUCUCAAGCGUUGUUCGGAUUCAUUGGGCGUAAAGGGUGCGUAGGCGGCGCGGUAAGUCGGGUGUGAAAUCUCGGGGCUUAACUCCGAAACUGCAUUCGAUACUGCCGUGCUUGAGGACUGGAGAGGAGACUGGAAUUUACGGUGUAGCGGUGAAAUGCGUAGAUAUCGUAAGGAAGACCAGUGGCGAAGGCGGGUCUCUGGACAGUUCCUGAUGCUGAGGCACGAAGGCCAGGGGAGCAAACGGG